RNAcentral lists this ribosomal RNA (455 nucleotides) under uncultured bacterium. Its description in RNAcentral is "bacterial SSU rRNA". It matches the Rfam family "Bacterial small subunit ribosomal RNA", at positions 340 to 786 of the family's 1533-position model. The record is from RNAcentral.
UACGGAAGGCAGCAGUGGGGAAUAUUGCACAAUGGGCGAAAGCCUGAUGCAGCUAUGCCGCGUGUAUGAAGAAGGCCUUAGGGUUGUAAAGUACUUUCAUCGGGGAGGAAAAACAAAACUAAUAAUUUUAUUUCUUGACGUUACCCGAAAAAGAAGCACCGGCUAACUCCGUGCCAGCAGCCGCGGUAAUACGGAGGGUGCUAGCGUUAAUCAGAAUUACUGGGCGUAAAGAGCACGUAGGUGGUUUUUUUAAGUCAGAUGUGAAUCCCUGGGCUUAACCUAGGAACUGCAUUUUGAAACUGAAAUACUAGAGUAUCGUAGAGGGAGGUAGAAUUCUAGGUGUAGCGGUGAAAUGCGUAGAUAUCUGGAGGAAUACCUGUGGCGAAAGCGGCCUCCUAAACGAAUACUGACACUGAGGUGCGAAAGCGUGGGGAGCGAAACAGGGAUUAGAUACC